ACGUAGGGAGCGAGCGUUGUCCGGAAUUACUGGGCGUAAAGGGUGCGUAGGCGGCUUGGCAAGUCAGAUGUGAAAUCCCCGGGCUUAACUCGGGAGUUGCAUUUGAAACUGCUAGACUAGAGUACAGGAGAGGAGAGCGGAAUUCCUAGUGUAGCGGUGAAAUGCGUAGAUAUGAGGAGGAACACCAGUGGCGAAGGCAGCUUACUGGAUUGUAACUGACGCUGAGGCACGAAAGCGUGGGGAGCAAACAG
Molecule: ribosomal RNA, 251 nt
Filed under: uncultured prokaryote
Description: partial 16S rRNA
Rfam family: Bacterial small subunit ribosomal RNA
Source: RNAcentral